UACGUAGGGCGCAAGCGUUGUCCGGAUUUAUUGGGCGUAAAGAGCUCGUAGGCGGUUUGUCGCGUCUUCCGUGAAAACUGGGGGCUUAACUUCCAGCUUGCGGUGGAUACGGGCUGACUGGAGUGCGGCAGGGGAGACUGGAAUUCCUGGUGUAGCGGUGAAAUGCGCAGAUAUCAGGAGGAACACCGGUGGCGAAGGCGGGUCUCUGGACAGUUCCUGACGCUGAGGCACGAAGGUCAGGGGAGCAAACGGG
This 253-nucleotide ribosomal RNA is filed under the name uncultured bacterium. Its description in RNAcentral is "partial 16S ribosomal RNA". It matches the Rfam family "Bacterial small subunit ribosomal RNA", at positions 524 to 776 of the family's 1533-position model. The record is from RNAcentral.